CAUCGCUCAGCCGCACAGCACCUGCCUGGCAAGCACAAGGUCAUGAGGAAUCAAACUCAGGGCUCGAGCUUGCCAGGUUACCAUCGUUUUUGCGCCUGAAUAGUACUCUAUGGAGGGUGCUGACUCUGAUCUGCUGGUCCCUGGCCAGGCCGUUGUUGCAGAAAACGGACAAGAGGAGCGGACUGCAGCAGGAGCUGGUGUGAGCAGGACAGAAGGAAUCGGCCUCACGAGGCAGCACCUGGCCUCGGACCUCACGGUGCUAGUGCUCAACUUCGGGAGGUCUCACCUGACCUGCGUCACACACGAUCUGCUCCGGGUGAUUUGUUGUUCGGCUUGUUGUGCUGCUAGGGUGGGAACACACGUCUCCGCCCACACACGUACUAAGCACACGCUGCACCCCUGA
This 403-nucleotide long non-coding RNA is filed under the name Chinchilla lanigera (long-tailed chinchilla). RNAcentral describes it as "lncRNA (ENSCLAG00000026847.1)". Lineage: Eukaryota; Metazoa; Chordata; Mammalia; Rodentia; Chinchillidae. The record is from RNAcentral.